This 405-nucleotide ribosomal RNA is filed under the name uncultured bacterium. Its description in RNAcentral is "partial 16S ribosomal RNA". It matches the Rfam family "Bacterial small subunit ribosomal RNA", at positions 30 to 526 of the family's 1533-position model. The record is from RNAcentral.
AUUGAACGCUGGCGGCGUGCCUAAUACAUGCAAGUCGAGCGAAUAGGGGACGGGUGAGUAACACGUGGAUACCACCCUAUAACAGUGGGAGAACUUCGGUAAACCCGAGCUAAACCGGAUACUUAUACAUGGAUCCGGGCUGCAUUAGCUAGUUGGUAAGGUAACGGCUUACAAAGGCAACGAUGCAUAGCCGACCUGAGAGGGUGAUUGGCCAAACUGGAACUGAGACACGGUCAAGAUUCCUGCGGGAGGCAGCAGUGGGGAAUCUUCCGCAAUGGGCGAAGGCCUGACGAAGCAAGGCCGAGUGAGUGAUGAAGGUCUUGGGUUCGUAAAACUCUGUUAUUAGGGAGGCGGUACCUAAUCAGAAAGCCACGGCUAACUACGUGCCAGCAGCCGCGGUAAUUC